RNAcentral lists this long non-coding RNA (1280 nucleotides) under Homo sapiens (human). RNAcentral describes it as "HSALNT0018417". The record is from RNAcentral. Lineage: Eukaryota; Metazoa; Chordata; Mammalia; Primates; Hominidae.
UAAUGACAUGCACAUAGGUUUGCCUUUCUGAAUUCUUAUGUUGAAUCUACUGUUGGUUGGCACCUGCCACUAGCAUAAAUUUCUACUCUUUCAAUCAGUGGGACAAAUUCACAUGCCAGUCGAGGCUGAUUCACCUGUUUAGGGCUGUGAGUGAUUUGAAGAGGACUACCUUCUCAGCACUUCUUUGGCCCAGAGUCACAGGAACCCUCUUCUCAAGAAUGUGGUCCUGGGACCUCUGAGAGGGUCUGGAAUUAGGGUUCAGGUACCAUCCAUCUGUUACGUGCUUUGAAGAUGCCACUCCAUCUGUGGGAUUCAAUUUACAUAAACUGAAGACUAUUCUUCUGAGUUGAAGUGAGGAGAGGCAUCAAUCACACUGGAAAAUUAUUUGAUCUCCUGGAAGCAAAAAGUCCACCAUGAAGUUGUUCUUGCCAUGGACUUCUAGAGGAGCUGACUGUCCUUUGGGAAGCUACAAAUACAGCCUUAAAAUCUGUUAGCAGGGAAGAGAGGCUUUUUCUGAGUGAUCAGGAAUGAAGAAGCAGAGAUCAUGCAAGGUGUUUCCAUCCAAAAGUAGGCAUCUCAUGUCAUCUGCUCUGGCCAGUAUUUAACCUUGAGAAAAGAAGAAGUGUAGAGAUGAUGUACUUGCCUGAGGGAUGGAUUAAAAAGUCUUUGGUCUUCUCUGAACGGUACUACUGAAUUUAUCCUCAUCACCGUCAUCAUUGUCAUUGUCAUCAUCAUCAUGAAAACAGGAGCAGAGAGAGGAAUGCUAUGAAGCUAUUAUUGUUCAAAAAAGACCUGGAGACAGCGGAUUGAAAAUCUCACAGCCAAAACGCAAUCUGGUGACUACCUUCUCUGGCUCUCAUUUGCUGACUUUGGAAGUUUGAAAAGGUUAGAACAACAUGCUUUUUUUUUUUUUCCUUUUUUUAUUAGAAUGCCAAACUUCAAAACCUUUUGAGAAUAUUUUUGGUUCUUAACUCUAGAAGGAGGGCCCAGCAUCCCUUGAAAACAAGCUGAUUACUCUCCCAGAAAAGCAUCUCAGCAUCUGUUAUUGGGAAACAGGGGAAUGUGCCUGCUUUGGUUUCUUUGUUUCUGUCAUUCAACUCCCUCAUCCCAUUUUCCUUAAUGGAACUUAACUAUGAUUUUUAGGGAAGACCUUAUGCUGAGUGUAGUUCCUCUCUUUUCCUCACUUUGCAGAUUCUAGACAACCUAGAUGCUCAGUAAGAAAGUGAACAGGACAUUCAUACAGAGUGGAGUUGUUAGAAAUGAGACUGGAACAGGGACAG